UACGGAAGGCAGCAGUGGGGAAUAUUGCACAAUGGGCGAAAGCCUGAUGCAGCUAUGCCGCGUGUAUGAAGAAGGCCUUAGGGUUGUAAAGUACUUUCAUCGGGGAGGAAAAAACAAAACUAAUAAUUUUAUUUCUUGACGUUACCCGAAAAAGAAGCACCGGCUAACUCCGUGCCAGCAGCCGCGGUAAUACGGAGGGUGCUAGCGUUAAUCAGAAUUACUGGGCGUAAAGAGCACGUAGGUGGUUUUUUUAAGUCAGAUGUGAAAUCCCUGGGCUUAACCUAGGAACUGCAUUUUGAAACUGAAAUACUAGAGUAUCGUAGAGGGAGGUAGAAUUCUAGGUGUAGCGGUGAAAUGCGUAGAUAUCUGGAGGAAUACCUGUGGCGAAAGCGGCCUCCUAAACGAAUACUGACACUGAGGUGCGAAAGCGUGGGGAGACGAAACGAGGAUUAGAUACC
Molecule: ribosomal RNA, 458 nt
Filed under: uncultured bacterium
Lineage: Bacteria
Description: bacterial SSU rRNA
Rfam family: Bacterial small subunit ribosomal RNA
Source: RNAcentral